UGCCCGACUCCUACGGGAGGCAGCAGUGGGGAAUAUUGCACAAUGGGGGAAACCCUGAUGCAGCGACGCCGCGUGAGCGAUGAAGUAUUUCGGUCUGUAAAGCUCUAUCAGCAGGGAAGAAAAUGACGGUACCUGACUAAGAAGCCCCGGCUAACUACGUGCCAGCAGCCGCGGUAAUACGUAGGGGGCAAGCGUUAUCCGGAUUUACUGGGUGUAAAGGGAGCGUAGACGGCGGUGCAAGCCAGAUGUGAAAGCCCGGGGCUCAACCCCGGGACUGCAUUUGGAACUGUGCUGCUAGAGUGUCGGAGAGGCAGGCGGAAUUCCUAGUGUAGCGGUGAAAUGCGUAGAUAUCAGGAGGAACACCGGCGGCGAAGGCGGCCUGCUGGACCGUGACUGACGUUGAGGCUCGAGAGCGUGGGGAGCAAACAGGAUUAGAUACCCGGGUAAC
Molecule: ribosomal RNA, 448 nt
Filed under: uncultured bacterium
Lineage: Bacteria
Description: partial 16S ribosomal RNA
Rfam family: Bacterial small subunit ribosomal RNA
Source: RNAcentral